This 221-nucleotide ribosomal RNA is filed under the name Escherichia coli. Its description in RNAcentral is "partial 23S ribosomal RNA". It matches the Rfam family "Bacterial large subunit ribosomal RNA", at positions 2149 to 2369 of the family's 2925-position model. Lineage: Bacteria; Pseudomonadati; Pseudomonadota; Gammaproteobacteria; Enterobacterales; Enterobacteriaceae. The record is from RNAcentral.
AGGAGCCGAAGAGACGUGUGCGCUAGCAUACGAGGAGGCAAUGGUGGGAUACUACCCUGGCUGUAUGCCCAUUCUAACCCGCCACGCUUAGCGCGUGGGGAGACAGUGUCAGGUGGGCAGUUUGACUGGGGCGGUCGCCUCCUAAAGAGUAACGGAGGCGCCCAAAGGUUCCCUCAGAAUGGAUGGAAAUCAUUCGCAGAGUGUAAAGGCACAAGGGAGCU